This 1450-nucleotide ribosomal RNA is filed under the name uncultured organism. RNAcentral describes it as "SSU rRNA". It matches the Rfam family "Bacterial small subunit ribosomal RNA". The record is from RNAcentral.
GCUACAGGCUUAACACAUGCAAGUCGAGGGGCAGCAUGGUCUUAGCUUGCUAAGGCCGAUGGCGACCGGCGCACGGGUGAGUAACACGUAUCCAACCUGCCGUCUACUCUUGGACAGCCUUCUGAAAGGAAGAUUAAUACAAGAUGGCAUCAUGAGUCCGCAUGUUCACAUGAUUAAAGGUAUUCCGGUAGACGAUGGGGAUGCGUUCCAUUAGAUAGUAGGCGGGGUAACGGCCCACCUAGUCUUCGAUGGAUAGGGGUUCUGAGAGGAAGGUCCCCCACAUUGGAACUGAGACACGGUCCAAACUCCUACGGGAGGCAGCAGUGAGGAAUAUUGGUCAAUGGGCGAGAGCCUGAACCAGCCAAGUAGCGUGAAGGAUGACUGCCCUAUGGGUUGUAAACUUCUUUUAUAAAGGAAUAAAGUCGGGUAUGCAUACCCGUUUGCAUGUACUUUAUGAAUAAGGAUCGGCUAACUCCGUGCCAGCAGCCGCGGUAAUACGGAGGAUCCGAGCGUUAUCCGGAUUUAUUGGGUUUAAAGGGAGCGUAGAUGGAUGUUUAAGUCAGUUGUGAAAGUUUGCGGCUCAACCGUAAAAUUGCAGUUGAUACUGGAUAUCUUGAGUGCAGUUGAGGCAGGCGGAAUUCGUGGUGUAGCGGUGAAAUGCUUAGAUAUCACGAAGAACUCCGAUUGCGAAGGCAGCCUGCUAAGCUGCAACUGACAUUGAGGCUCGAAAGUGUGGGUAUCAAACAGGAUUAGAUACCCUGGUAGUCCACACGGUAAACGAUGAAUACUCGCUGUUUGCGAUAUACAGCAAGCGGCCAAGCGAAAGCGUUAAGUAUUCCACCUGGGGAGUACGCCGGCAACGGUGAAACUCAAAGGAAUUGACGGGGGCCCGCACAAGCGGAGGAACAUGUGGUUUAAUUCGAUGAUACGCGAGGAACCUUACCCGGGCUUAAAUUGCAGAUGAAUUACGGUGAAAGCCGUAAGCCGCAAGGCAUCUGUGAAGGUGCUGCAUGGUUGUCGUCAGCUCGUGCCGUGAGGUGUCGGCUUAAGUGCCAUAACGAGCGCAACCCUUGUUGUCAGUUACUAACAGGUUCCGCUGAGGACUCUAACAAGACUGCCAUCGUAAGAUGUGAGGAAGGUGGGGAUGACGUCAAAUCAGCACGGCCCUUACGUCCGGGGCUACACACGUGUUACAAUGGGGGGUACAGAGGGCCGCUACCACGCGAGUGGAUGCCAAUCCCAAAAACCUCUCUCAGUUCGGACUGGAGUCUGCAACCCGACUCCACGAAGCUGGAUUCGCUAGUAAUCGCGCAUCAGCCACGGCGCGGUGAAUACGUUCCCGGGCCUUGUACACACCGCCCGUCAAGCCAUGGGAGCCGGGGGUACCUGAAGUGCGUAACCGCGAGGAGCGCCCUAGGGUAAAACUGGUGACUGGGGCUAAGUCAUAACA